Oryzias melastigma (Indian medaka) is the source of this 523-nucleotide non-coding RNA. The record is from the annotation of a RefSeq genome assembly. Lineage: Eukaryota; Metazoa; Chordata; Actinopteri; Beloniformes; Adrianichthyidae.
GUCAGAAAGAGCUCAGUGAGUUCAUCUUCAGCAUCAACCAUGUUCUCUGCAGCUCUGAUGCUGCUGCUGACAGCUGGAUCCUGUGUGGACAGUAUUGAUCUCAUCCAGCCAGACUCAAAGGUUGUUCAGCCUGGACAGUCUUUGACCAUCAGCUGUCGGGUUUCUGGAUAUUCACUGACUGCUGGCAGCUAUGCAACAGGCUGGAUCAGACAGCGAGAAGGAAAACCAAUGGACUGGAUUUUCCAUCAGUGGGGAAGUAGUAGUGGGAACUUCUAUCAAAAUGAAGCUCUGAAAAACAAGUUCAACUACAACAUAGACACUUCUGCAGGAACAGUGACAAUAACAGGACAGAAUCUGCAGCCUGAAGACACAGCUGUGUAUUACUGUGUGAGACGCCCCACAGUGACACAAACAAACACAAACCUGUACAAAAACUCAACAGCUAUGAAGACCAAACAACAUGUGUGUAAUAAAUAAUACAAUAUACAUUUGUUUUUGUGUUUAAAAAAAUAAAUUUUAAAAA